Non-coding RNA from Parasteatoda tepidariorum (common house spider), 477 nucleotides. Lineage: Eukaryota; Metazoa; Arthropoda; Arachnida; Araneae; Theridiidae. The record is from RefSeq and is a predicted model, not a curated record.
AUAUAUAUUACAAUAAGUUUUGAAAUUUUGUAGAAACAGCAAAUUUACUGUUCGUUUUUUAUUUUAUAAGAAAUUAACAAGCUUACACAUGUGUACACCUAUUGUUUUUUAAUGCAUUCAAGAUAGUGUUUUUAUACCUAAUGUUCAUCAUUCCACUCAUAGGUUACCAUUAAUGCUCAUUUGCCACAAAUGUUCGGGUUACAUUGUUUUUUGAAUUUUUAUUGUAUUGCCCCUUUUUUAUCUUUUUAAAUUCCUUUUUGUUUGAAGUAAAUGAAUCAAGUAAAAAAAUUUCCCCUGAGGAGAGAUCAGCAAAGCAAGUUCGAAGAAAAAGAAAGGAAGAUGUGUGUCAGGUUGCGGCUCUUGACUUGCAGAGAGAGAACAGUUACCUCUUGGAUUGCUUUUAUUUUGUUGAGAGAGUUACGGGUUUCUUUAAAAAAAAAUUCAAUUAUUCUACUUAAUAAAUAUGGUUUACAUUUC